Molecule: long non-coding RNA, 16017 nt
Filed under: Marmota monax (woodchuck)
Lineage: Eukaryota; Metazoa; Chordata; Mammalia; Rodentia; Sciuridae
Source: RNAcentral
AGGGACCACCCGACCUCGCGGGAAGCCUGAUUGCCUGCAGCUGGAGGUGGGUAUCCAAGUGGGCAGCCUGCCCAAUGCGGCCAAACUUGGACUGCGCCUCCUAGAGGCCCUGGAGUGUAGUGCAGGCAGGCAGGCUUUGAGGGGAGUGUUGGGCAGGUGGUGUGUUUGUGUUGGCGGGGGUGGUCCUGGGCCCUGGAAGGAACCUGAUUGCCCGUAUGCAAGAUGGGCCAUGUCCUCAACAGACUCUCACUCCACUUCCAGUGGGUGAAGAUGUUGGCAUCACCUUUUUUGACAAUAAUAUGCCAGUGGGGCUUGGUCCAUUUGUCUUCCCUUGUAUCAUCACAGUUGAGCUGGUGUUUGCCCUGAAUACUUGUCUGAAGAGGCCAGGAUCAGAAGAGUGUCUGGUUGCUUGGGGGAAUGGUGACAUAACAGUGCUGUCAGUCCUCUUGUUGGUGAUAUUAGGAGAGUGGCAAGGAUGUCACAGAAGUCACUAAUUGGAACCCAUGGUGCCCAAGGCCCAGAAACACCAACUGGGGACAGAAAGGAAGUGCAAUCUCCUACAAGAGCCUGGAGUCUCCAUGCCUAGAAUCCCAAGUUCCUGAAUGCCAGCCUGUUCCAUUUUGAAAGUCUAUGGUGAAACUUGCUUUGUGGUCAUUUCACAGGAGCAUUGUUAACCAAGUUAGGUAUUUCACUGAGAAGCAUCAAAACAAGAGUUACAAGAUUUUGAUCAUAAGAUAAUAGCAGGAAGUUCAACAGAAGUAACUUGCUGGUAUCUAAUCUCAGGGCCAUGAUUCCUGAAAGGAACUUCUAUAAAAAGGACCAUCAGGAGGGCUGAAAAUUUCAUGAGUCUCCCCCCUCUCCCCCAGCACAUAUUGAACCUAGCAGCAUGUAUCCACUGAGCCAUAUCCUGUGUCCUUUGUAUAUUUAUAUUUUCAGACAAGAUCCAGCUAAGUUGCUUAGGGCCUCCCUAAUUUGUUGAGGCUGGCUUUGAACAUGAGAGCCACCUGCCUCAGCCUCCCCAGUCCUGAGAUGACAGGCCUGAGCUAGCACCUCCUGCCCUGGGUCUUUAAUUUUGGCCACAUGUCUGCUGGUUAGUAUUUUUGUUAAGGAACAUUAAGGAGGAGGGAGAGUGGGUCAUAAAAAUUUCUUGUUGUUGUAAAGGCUGGGGGUUUGGGUUUGAAUUAACCCAACAUGUUGCUAAAUAAUAAUGAUCUGAGAAUUUAAUGUAUUUGAGGUGUCCCUGCCUCUCCUUGCACCCUAGGCCAUGGUAGAUCACUGAGAAUUUUUUAUGGUCAGAGUUCAGCCACAAUCCUUUUCUUGCUUACAAAAUUGGGAUCAAUCACUCUCAUGACACACCAGAACACUGAAAUUCUGGACAGGCAACUCAAGCUUCUGGAAGUAUUGCUUUCAAAUAUGAAAGUAAUAAUCAUUAGAAAGUGAUUUUUUCUGUCUUUAGAAAGUUAUGGUUGCCCUGCAAAGCUCUCCACAGAGGUCAGACUGGAAGGGGAUCAAUUAAGCAUUUAAAACAUUCACAGCAUUAUGCCAACACUUCCUCUAUGCAGUUGGAAAAUAUUUCCUUAACUCCACAUUAACCCUGUGGCUACAAUUAGUCCCCCCUCAUGUGCUCACUCCUAGUGACCUCUCACCUAUGUCUGUUUCUCUGGAUUUCCCAAUUUUUUAUAUUUCGCAUAAAUGGAGUCAUGCAAUAGGUGACCUUGUGUGACUGCUUUAUUUCAUUUACAGAAUGUUUUCAAGGUUUAUCUUGUCAUAGGACACAUUAGUACUUCCUUCAUAUUCAAGGAUGAGUAAUAUUACAUUGUUUGGAUAUAUCACACUGGUUUAUUUGCUUUGGGACUUUUGAGUUAUUUCCACUUUUUACAGUGAACAUUUGUGAAAAAGAAUUUUUUUUGGGGGGGAUAGUUCCUAUAUUUGAUUAUUUGGGAUACAUAACAAGGAAUGGAAUAUCUGGGUUAUUUGAUAAUUUUUUACUUAACUUUUGAUGGACUUCUAGACUUCCUUACUGUUUGUGCAGAAAUUGAUAAUGUGUUUAAAUGGCACAUGAUGCCUUCUGAAGUCUUCUGGCUAGUGUUGUUUCAGGUCUUAUAUGAGUGAAAGCACUUCUAGCCUUGAAAUGUGCCCUAACUGUUCAGCAAUGAAACUGUGGAUGGAUUGUAGAGGAGAGUUGGUGCAGCAUAGGACAGGGAUAGAAACCAAGAAUCAUCCACCUAUCCAUUCACUAUUUCAUUCAUUCACUAACUCAUUCAGAAAAUAUCUACCAUUCACGUACCCUGUGCCAGUCUGUGUGCUGGACGUAGGAAGAGGUACAUACGAUAAACAUUAUUCCUCAAGAGGCUGAUUUUGUGGGUAGUAAAAACAGACCUAUAAAAUAACAAUCAAGUGCUGGGGAUAUAGAUCAGUUGGUAGAGUGCUUGCCUUGCAUGCACAAGGCCCUGGGUUCCAUUCCCAGCACCACAAAAAAUAAAUAAAUAAAAAUAAGGCCCUCAACCUGGAAUCCCAGUUCCUCAGGAGGCUGAGGCAGAAGGAUAACAAAAAUAAUUUCUCAGAAGGUAAAGAAAGGAGCAGUAAGGCUGGAGUUGUGGUUCAGUGGUAUAGCACUCACCUAGCGUGUGUGGGGUCCUGGGUUCAAGCCUCAGCACCAUGUAAUAAUAAAUAAAUAAAUAAAAUAAUAAGAUUGAGCCUGAAGAGAUCAAGUGAAUUUCCCGGUGUUAUUCAGUGAAUGAAAUACCAUCAAGGUUACAAGAAUUAGGGACUGGGUUAUUUUCUUUGCUCCUUCUCCUCCUUUUGUGGGGCAUCAGGGUGAGGAUUCUAGAAUACCUGGAAGGAUCUGCCUCUGCUGGUUGGCUGAUCAUCAUUCCAAAAUCUUAAUGCCCAUGCUGAAUGGGAACUGGAGCAGAGGCUAAUUCAUUAGGGAGUUGGGGUUCUGAUCAAGGUGCUGGUUUCCAGGAAGAAGAGUGGAGGGGAGGAGAAAAGAAUUAAGAGCAGGAGGCCCAUGUCUGUCUCAACUCACACAUUGAAUACACUCACUGUGCUGCCCAUUGUUCAGAGAAGGAACAAGUGGGGUGCACACUCUGCUUUUGUUGUUGUCACAACUUAUGCUGUACCAUUGUAACAAUCCUCAAAGGACAAUUCUGAAAAGACCCCUGCUCCCUGCCAUGCCAAUGCCCCUGUGAAGCAUUAAACAAUAUUUUGCCCUUAAAAUGAUUCUCAUUCAGACACAACCUCCUUGCACAAGAAGACAGGAUGGAUGUGGGGUUGCCUCACAUUGGAGCCUGUGACACUGCUGACUCACAGGGAAAGCACAGGAGAGAUACCAAAGAUGUAUUAGGGAAUGUGGAAGUAGAGUUCAUUACCACUAUCUGAUGUAAUUGACUGGUGGCCACAAACUUGCAAGGACUCACACAGCACAGGGAAAUGCUUAGGGGUGAAGGCUGUGGGAACAGGAGGAUGGGCUUUGAGUGUGGACUCCACACAGGAGCCACUGACCUUCAAUUCUUCAGCUUCCUCAGUUUUGUUAGCUAUAAAUUGAGAUAUAGAGUGCUACUCUUAGGGUUGGUGUUGCUUAUUCGCAAUGGUCUAUAGAAAUGCUUGCAAUUUUUUUUAAAAGAAAUAAAAAAGAAAACAUACAUGUAAAGGUGGAGAACAACCAUCCUAAUCCAAUAUAGACAUUUUCUGGUUGGGUAUUAUGGCACAGAGAGGUUGAAUGACUCGUAUGUGGCCACACAGGAAGGAGUAAGGUGGUUUAAGACAAAGGGUUGCUUUAGAGCCAUUUCUAAAAGAUCUUGGGUUUUUUGUUUGUUUGUUUGUUUGUUUUUUUGUUUUGUUUUGUUUUUGUUUUUGUUUUUCCGUAGUAAAACAGAGUUUUCCGGAAGAUAUACUCAUGAAAGCUGAGCUGGUCCAUGAACAGCCUGACUCAGGCUGGGGCAUUAUUACUCCUGUUGCAUGGUGAAGACUGUAGGGACUCUUAUGACCCACUUGAGUGUCAGCCCUGUGUGGGAUACUUGACCAUCACUGUCUUAUCUCAUUUCAUCUUCACAGCACCCUCUCCUAUAUUCCUGCUAUGUGUUUUUUUUCUGAUUCCCUUGUGCCUAGAACACAGUAGGUCCUCAGCAAAUAUCAGUUGGCAGAACAUUCCAGAAUCCAGGAGCCCAGGGUCCAGGACCGACACUGAGGCCCAAGGGGAGAGUGGAGUCCAGAGUUGUGCAGCUGCUCUUAGGUCUGUUCAACUCUAGAGAAGAUUUUAGUGAAACCCCUCAGAUCAGCAGUUCAGACCCCAGGCCUAGGCAACACUGGGAUUUUCCUCCCAUUGGGCAAGAGCUUAAGCAGACAGGGAAAGGACCUCAGGGUAGACAGGUUUUGACCCAAAGCAGUGAAUACAAAGUAAAAUUUUCAUAAUCUGCUUGAAUCAAAUAUAUGAAAUACAUUUACCAAGAGCUUUGUAAUGUUUUGAACAACUAAUAAUAAAAAAAUAAUAAAAUAAAAAAUUUCUCCUCUUUGGUUUGUCUGGGGCAAGCACAUUCUAGGAUGCAUAGUUUGUGAGUCUCUGGCUCUGGGGCCUGCUUGGAUGGGUUUAUAGAGAAGCCCAAGAGACCACCUCUGGAUUUUUUUGCUCCAGAGCCUUGAGGACAUGCUUCUGUGUUAUUCUCUUUCUUCUUCUCUGUGGAGGGAUGUGCAGGCCAAGCAGGAGUCCUGAGAAACUGUCAGAACAGGAAAUGUCUGUAGGGGAGCAAGGGAUAGGAGGGGACAACUGUUAGUCAGAGGAAGAAAUGGCCUUUGGAGGGAAAAACAAUGUUUAUGACAUUCAGAGUGUAAACUCAUCUGCUAUUUUUCCUCCACCCAUACCUCAGUUCACCAAUUCAGACACAUACCACUCCCCACACCCUUAUCCAUCCAUCUACCUACCCAACCACUAUCCCCUCACCUGUCCUCCUAUCCAUCCCUAGAUCCACCCUUUCAUUUCCAUCCACCAAUCUUCCCAGCCAUAUACCCACUUCUCAUUCACUCAUCCACCCAUGCAUCCAUGUGUCUGUCUAUCUGCCCAUCUAUCCAUCCAUAAGUCUAUCCAUCUGUUCAUCAAUUCAUUCAUCCAUCAGUCCAUCUGCCCAUCCAUCCUUCCAUCUACCCAUCCAUCCACCCAUCCACUCAUUCACCCAUCCUUCCUUCCAUCCAUCAGUUUAUACAUCCAUCAAUCUCUCCAUCCAUUCAUCAAUCCAUCCUUCUAUUCAUCCUUGUGACCAUCAGUCCAUUCAUCCAUCUGUCCAUCUAUUCAUCAAUCCAUCCACUCAUCCAUCCAUCCAUCCAUCAUCCUUUUUCCUUCCAUCAAUCUGUCUAUCCAUCCAUCCAUCCAUCCAUCCAUCCAUCCAUCCAUAGAUAAAUCCAUCCUUCCAUCCAUCAGUUCAUCUAUCCAUCCAUCAAUCCAUCCAUCCACUGAUCCUUUCUUCCUUCCACCCAUCAUUCUAUCCAAUCAUCCAACCAUCCUUCUAUCCAUAAAUUCGUGCAUCUAUCCAUCAGCCAUCUGUCCAUUCACCCUUUCAUUCAUCCAGUCAUCCAAUUUCCCAUUAAGUCAUUCACCUUCUUUCCUCCCAUUCAUCCACCCACCAUGUCAUACCCCAUCCAUUCUUCCAGUACACCCCAGGGGUUUGCCAAUAUGACCACUGGCCUGGCUUUUUCAUUUUACAGAUGAGUGAUCCUCUAUCACAGGAGAAAUGACAGAGAACUCAGCUUUUGAAGGCAGAGUAGCCAGGUUCACAUUCAGGAUCUCCCAUUGGCUGGCUAGCCUCAGGUGGUGACAAAUGCCUCUGAGCUUUUCAUGCUCUUCAUAAGAAUGAUUCGUCUCAGUACCUGUGGUGAGGAGGAAAUGACAGGCUAUUAUACAGUGCUCAUUACUGUGGUAUGGCCUGAGGCAUCAUCUGCUGAGUACCUACUGUAUGCCAAGGGUGAUUUGCAUGUGCUCCCCUAGGUCUGAUGGGACUAUCCCCAUUCUACAGAGGAAGAUAUUGAGUCUCUGAGAGGUCAAGUGAAGGGACAGAGCCCAGGCCCCAAACCAGAGUAGUGGGACUCCAAAUUCCACUUUUCUACCACUUUGCCACUUUGAUUCUGGGUUCUGACCUACCACAAGCACACAAUGGGGCCCCAGGAUACUCCAAACCUUAGUCUCCCCAUAUGCACUAAGACUGCAUGGUUUCUACAGCUGCAGGCAGAAAAAGAGAGGAGAACAAAAGCCAGGGGUCACCACUGCCCUUUGUGAGCCCUGAUCAUUUACUCAUUCAACAAAUACAAUAUGCCCUGACACCUACUACUACAUGCCUGCCUGGAAUGCAGCAGUGUGAACACAGAGGUGACUGAGAGGGACAAAGAUUUCCAUUCUCUGAGGAGGAAAUUCAAUAGCCAAGUCCACAAAUUUGUGAACAACUUAUUUUCAUAGAUAGGAUGGUGAAAACACUUCUAUGGAGAAGUCCUUAGCAGGUGAGAAUGGUGUGCCUGUACAGGAGGGAGGAGGGGGCAGCACUCCAGGAGGACAUACUGCUUGAUCCCAGCACUAACCCAACCAUGAGAUGAGUCUUCCUGCCAAGGUCUGCAGGGGACAGAGUGCCAGGCAAAGGGAGCAACAAGUUCCAAGGCCUGGUGAUGGAAUCAGCCUGCUGGGGACAUGAAAUUGGGGUCAGGGACCUUGCCAUCAUCUGCUGGGGACAUCUUCACAUGGCUUCUGUCACAUCACAUUGAUUCCAUUAAUUAAUUACAAUGACAUCUUUUCUUCUAUCUGGGAGAGCCAGAGCCUGCUGACUCCUUCUUAUAAUUCUUUUUCAUUCUUACAAUCUGCUUUAAAACCUAUUCCCACAUCCCAAGGCCUCUGUGAACCAGGUAUAUUUCUCCAAAUGCCAAAAAAUAAAUACAGUAAAUUCACAUGCUUUCAGGGAUAUUUAUGGACCAGUCUGUGAGGGAAAUGGGCUGGUUGCCUUGGAGGCCAAGCUGACGGAGCUUGCGAGGUAAUUAGUUGCUGAGUUAUGGGGCCACUUGAAGCCUAAUUACCGAGAGAUCUGAGGUGCUUGCCUCAUUAGGGCCCAGAUUUCCAUGGCACUGCAAAGACUCAUUGGGUAAGCAUCCUCUGUGAGGUACAGACUGGAGGGAGGCUGCUGGGUCUCUGAGGGGACUUGGAGGUAAUGGCCAGAGGGUCAGUGAGCAUGGGGUAUGCUGGGUUGAAGGCUGUGCAGGGUGACAUUGCCUCCUCUAGGACAUCCAAUUCUUUCCUUCCUUCCUUCCUUCCUUCCUUCCUUCCUUCCUUCCUUCCUUCCUUCCUUCCCUCCUUCCUUGUUUUCUUUCUUUCUUUCUUCCUUCCUCCCUCCCUCCCUUUCUUCCUUUCUUCCUUCCUUCUCCCUCUCUCCCUCCCUCUCUUUCAUUUUGGUUCUGGAGAUUGAACCCAGGUGUGCUUAACCUCCUUCUCACCUCCCUAGUUAUAUUUAUUUAUUUAUCUAUCUAUUUAGAGACAGGGUUUCAGUAAGUUGCUUAGCCUCACUAAAUUGCUGAGGCUGGACAUGAACUUGUCAUCUCCUUGCCUUAGCUGCCUAAGCAGUUGGGACUACAGGCAUGCACCACCAUGCCUGGUGGCUCAUUUAGUAUUUCUUUGGUGGAUCCUGCAGCACUUUCUGAGGAUCUGGUUCUAUCUUGUUCCUCUGGCUGGAGAUUGUCUCAUUUAUAAAUGUUCCUUAGCAUAUGAUGGGGUCAUGUCCCCAUCAACCCAUUGUAAAUCAAAAAUCACACUUUUGGAAAAUGCAUGAAGAUCCAGCAGCACAGGUGCUCUAGGGAGUUGCCUGCCUCCCCACAUGAUCCUGGGGCUUUCUGGCAGCAGCAGCUCACCACUGCUACCCUGCCUCAUGGCAUGGCAUGGUACUGCAUGUCACCAGCCAAGGAAAAGAUCACAACUCAAAGUUGUCAGUACAGUUCUACUCAAUGCCUGUCACUUUUACACCAUUAUAAAGUCAAAAGAUCUAAGUUGGAUCCUUGAAAUUUAGGGCCAUGUGUUUACAUAUUUGUUCAUAAGUUUCCCCUCCUAUUUGUUUCACUCAUCCAUAUAUCCCUCUGUUUAUUCCACAAGGAGAUCUGGAACACUGAGCUGUGUCAGGGUUUGACAUAAAGGUUCAGGAGAUGAAGCUCUCUUCAUAGAGAGAGUGCUUGAUAAAUAGUAGGUACACAAUAUAUUUGUUGCAAUAACUCAAGAUCUCAAUAAGACUAUGUCCUGCUUAUCACUCACAUUUCAGGCUCUACAGGUGUGUACUGUGCACAUGGAUGUGUGUGUGGGUACAUGUAUAUGUACACAUGCAUGUGUGCUUGUGUGUGUGUGUGUGUGUGUGUGUGUGUGUGUGUGCAUGCUCUUGCAUGCACCCAAACUGAGGAUCUCCCAUGCAUCAAUAAGAGAGAUGCUCAGGAAAGAAAAUGUCCCAUGCAUGCUAUCAAACCUGUGGCCAGAACAGCUUUCACAGCAUGGAACAGUGACUGGAAUAUAAUAAGUGCUCAGUAAAUAAUUUGGGGUAUGACACAUAAAUGUGCUUUUACAGUGCAGGAGCUUUCACAUAGCUAGGACUAAAUGGAUGCUCAGCUAAAUGCGGGGACAAGAAGACCACAACAUGUGCUGCAACAGGAAAAGCCUUACCAGGCAGGUGGGGUCAAUGUGCAGCAGCAAGGUGGAGUUGCCCAUGAGGGACCUAGUGGUCAAGGGAUCUGCCUGGGUCAUGUUCUAAGAGGUCCUGGCUCUUGAACUUCAUGAGGGAGCAUGAAUAGAAGUCUGACAGCUGGUUCACAUGGGGAAGGGUCCAGCAGAGAGAACCAUCCCAUCAUUUAGGCAUAAUUAAUGGUGCUCAAGGUAAAUGUAGCUAGAUCGCUGAAGGGGACCAGGGCUGAGACAGGGACUCAAUCCCAAGAUUGCAUAACCUUGAAUGUCAGACUAGUAAUUAAGAUUUAUACCAGGGGCCCUGGAGAGAUGCUGCAAGACUCCCCUGUGCAAGUUAAGGACACAGUUGUAUGGGAAUUCCAGAGCAAUCUCUUCCUGAUUUUUGGAGAUGGUAUGGAAUAUGAUCAGUUGGCAGGCCAGGGAGGAGAUAGCAAGGGCUGAUCACAGCUAAGGACCCUGAGGACCCAGGAGCUGGGCUACCAAUGAGACCCCUGCAUGGCCAGAUUAUAUUUAGGAAGAUAAAACUUUCCUAACUCUAAAACCACAGGACUCAAGGACAGCCCCGUCCACCUGCUUCCAAACUGAACUAGCCAGAUUUUUUAAAAAUGGCAAUAGCAAUGUCUUUCCUUCUCUCUUCAAGGUGGUUAAUUAUCUUAAUUAUUUUUAUUAUCUUUUAAGAUCCUAAAUUGCUUAUUUCUGCUUCUCCUGCCAAAGGAGACCAAAAUCUGUUUUCUUGUGGUUGUUUUUUUGGUAUACGGAAUUGGACUCAUGAGUGCUCAACCACUAAGUCACACUCCCAGUCCUAUUUUGUAUUUUAUUUAGAGACAUAGUCUCACUGAGUUGCUGAGUGAAUCACUGUUGCUGAGGCUGACUUUCAACUUGUGAUCCUCCUACCUCAGUCUUCUGAGCCACUGUGAUUACAGGCGUGCACCAUCUCAACCAGAAGGCAACCACAAUCUUUUAUUCAUUACUGUGAAGUGAAGAUCACCAGAUGUAUAUUUUUUUCUGGUAAAAUUUAAAGGAAUUUAGAUUUAUACCCAAAUUCUUGUGAUCUUAAUUGUGUCAACAAGUGGAAAUUAAGUCAAGUGAGAUGUUGAUUGGCUGUGGGGGACACAGAGAUAAAUGCUCCAAAUCUGAAAAAUUCUUUUAUUUUUUUCUUGCUUCCUUUUCUCUUCUCUGAAUUCUUUUUUAAUUUUGGUCUGGGUAUUGACCCCAGGGGUUAUUAACCACAAUACACAUCACCAGCUCUUUAUAAAAAUGUUUCAUUUAGAGACAGGAAUAGUUAGGACCUCAGUAAGUUGCAGAAGCUUGCUUUGAACUCGUGAUCCUCUGCCUCAGUCUCCUGAACCUCUGUGAUUGCAGGUAUGCACCACGGUGCCUGGCUUCUCUGCAUUCUUUGUGUGAUGCAGGAAAGAACGUUUUAUUCCAGCUAAUCUUCACUUCAACUUGAGAGAGAAUUACAGGUCUGGAAAACUGUCCCAUUUACCCCAACAAAUAGAAAAGUGAUUUGGUUUGAUAUAAAUCCAUUCAUGGGGAACAUUUUCAGGUAAAGGGGGAAAAAUCAGCAGGAACCUGAAUCUUGGGAUAUUUGAAGCCAUGGGAUUUGGGUUCAGGCAGUGAAAGAUGCUCACAGGUUGAGCUGGAGGACAUGGUGUGUGGAAGGCCUGGGUGCCAAGGAGUGAUUUCUUGAGGAAAGUGGGCAGCCUGUGGGUAAGAUCUAGGUUUAGCAGAGAUGGCUCAAGGUUGGUGAGGCUGGAACAAGGCCAUGGUACUAUCCUGAAGCUUCUUGGGCCAAAUGUGUAGUGGUGUUUGAAGACAAUGUAGCUUUUAGAAAGGGGAUUGUUGCCAGAGCAUCCAUCUAUGGAGCUUACCUGGAAGCUGAGGCACAAGAUCCAAGUCAACUUAGUUUCAAAUGCUGGCUCUAACAAGUUUGAGUUUUGUGACUAAGGCACACACCAUAAGGUUCAGUGCUUUGUGGGAAGCCAUCCAUGAAAUGCAUGAAGAUCUUAUCUCAGCAUGGAAGCCAGGGAGAGAAAGGCCCGGCAUUGAGAACUUUCCAUGGCUCUCCCACAGCAAUAGAUUGCCCAAUCCACAUGAUCUUUCCUUCUGCUCUGCUAGGAAGGUUCCUCAGAGUAGCUCCAGUCAUGUGCAUAACCCACUAGAAACUGAACAACCGACCUUUAACCUUUUUUUGGAGAAUAUUCUAUAGAAUCUAUUUGGUAUAUCCUGAUAUAAAUGAAGCAGGCAUGGGCUCUAUUUAAUCCAGAAGCUUGAUCCACCUGAUUGCUUGCCCUUCUGGCCUCUGCCUUUGAAACUAUUUUCUGUGUUCUGUUUUUAUUGCUGUUUUAUUUCCAUUAGCCUUUAUUUCUUAGCCAGCCCAUUCCACCAAGGGGAACCCCAUUUCCACCACCUGAGCAGGACAUGGGUGGUAAUGCUUCAUUUCUCUACACUCUACAAUGGACAUGGUAAUCAUAGUACUCCCCUCUUGGAGCCUUUGUGAGGGAAAAAUAAAAUGAUGGCAGGUAUAUGAUGCUAUGAGAUCCCCAAUGUGGUGGGAAAAUAAAGCAGUUUCCUACUAAAAGUCACACAGCUUGCUGAAUGGAGACAAUGUCUUCAUCCCAGUGCUCCUUCUGAUUCUGUUUGGGAUCUAGGGGGAUCUAGGGAUCUGCACACUAAGGCUGGGUUGCUCAAGAUUCCCUGGGAAGAAGUGUGAGGGAGAACAAGAUGAACAGGGAAAGGUGUGAGUGUGUGUGUGUGUGUGUGUGUAUUGGCAGGGGAGGGCCCUCAUGCUUACUGAAAGGCAGGGAAAUUGUCUGUAAUUUUCUUUCCUGAAAAGCACCUGGGGAGGUGAAAGAAGGUGGCAUUAGGGCAGGACAGGUAAUCGAUUUUCAUCUGGGUGCAGACAGAAACGUCAAGCACAGCAGUGUUUGGAGAUGGAUCUUUGAGUUUUCCUGGGUCAGUGAGACUGCAGCCCAUGUUCCCACAGCAACACUCACCCAGCCUUGGCCUUCUCUGUUUCUGUACCUUUCUGUCUGCCUGUCCCCUUUCUUUCACCCCCCCACCCCCCCUCCCCCACAGAGCUCUCCUUGACUCCCUGCACCUUCCUCUCCCUGCAAACUCCUCCCUUCCUCUCUUUCCUUGGACCAGAAAAACACUGCAUUUGUAUCUCCAGGGGAGUGGGCAGCUGCCCAGUCUGGAGAUGGGAGGGAGCAGGGAGAGGGGAGCCUAGGCUGACAGGCUGUCUUAGAAGAGGAUUGGCAGGGGGGCAUCCUCCAGACCACAUAGCCUUCCAGUAAGAGCCCUGGAGGUUCCACUUGAAGACCUGCUUUCUGCGCAUGGACUCUGGGUGACUGGGGUGUAGGCAUGUGUGUAUUUGUGCAUAUGUGUCUCAUUAAAUGAUCUUAUUAAAAAUAAUUUUAGUUGCUUCUAGAAAAUUUAAGAAGUCACCAUGCUUGUCUUGUACUCUUUCCUCCUGGACAGGGCAGCUCUUGAAUUUGAAAAUUUGCAUCCUGGUCACCAAGAAAGUAUUUCUCCAGCCUUAGCCUUUUGAUUUGUAGUUGUUAUUAUACUCUGGUCUUUUUUUACUGUAGAAAGGAAAGAAUAUUCUAUUCUACUAAAAUGAAUGAUGUUAAAGUGGUAAGAUUAAUAAAUUUUUGCCACUAAUAUCAGUUUCAAUGUGCCCCAUCCUGGGACACACUCCACCUGUGUACUUAUUGAAGGCCAGACAAUGACAGUAAUAUCUAGCUGGAUUGGAAGUCAUUUUUAGAUUUUGAGGUAGGUCUUCAGAUUCUUCCCCUUGCUGCUGGCUGGAAGUUCACCUUCAGAGAUUUGACUGGUUAAGAUCCCCAAUGGAGCAAAGCAUGCCUCUUGGCACCCAAUGCUGGGGAAUCUUUGCUAGGAUUGCUCUAGUAGCCCCAGAAAUCAUAAGGGGUGGGUCCAGGGCUUGAACGACACUUGACCAGGCAGAAAGAUGAUAUGUAUAUCUACAAAUAUGCUAGGCAUAUCCUAUAUGUGCCAGACUGGACAGACAAACACUGACUCUGUCCUCAGGAGUCAGUGCCUGAAAAACCACAUGCUCUAAGUCAACCUGUGCUGGUUGGUUACAGGUAUUGUCUCAUUUGAUUGUCAGCCCAUUUCAUAGAAGAAGAGCCUGAAGUCAGAAAGGGGCAAAUCUUUGCCCAGGGCAUGUACACACUAGCUGGGGCUCCAAUCGUUAUUUAUAUGGUUCCAGUCAUGUAAGCCUUCCCUGAGGCUGCCUCUGGAAUGUUCUCUGUGAGGUGGGACCUGGAGAUGGUCCUGUUGCCCUUGAAUUCCUUCAGAUCUUCACAAUGUUUCCCUUCAUGAUGCUGUCUGAGUCCAUCGUCCCUGUUCUUAAUGGAAACCUUGGAGGACCAGUGCAUAUUUUUAGCUUUUGCCACACCAUGGGAUAAUGAGACUCAUAGGUUUACUUUCCACUGAGUAAAGUACUAGAACACUUUAAUUUUCCCCCAAAUGCUUUUGAGUUUCCCAGGAUAUGUAGGUGAGAGGAGAGAGGUUUAUCUGGCUUCUUACUCACCUGCCUCCCCAUCAGAUCCUCAGCCUCCCUGGGGAGGCACAGGGUUGCCCAGUGCACAUGGUCAGCCCCGUGUUGGAGCCAUGGACCUGAAUGCACCUUCUUCCUGCAUCCUGUGCAUGAGGCCUUUCACAAGAGACUUUAGUUGGCCAGGCCUCAAUUGCCCCUCCAUAUACGGGAACAAGGACCCCAGUUCUGUAGGACAUGGAGCACUCUAUUGAGGGACCAUGUGAAGUUUUGGAGGAGAAGGGGGCUUCCCUGUCCAUUUGGGCUUUGGUGUGACUGCAGUUCACUGAUAUGUGUAGGGGUCAAAGAUGGCUAGGGGAUAUUAUUAAUAGAUUCUGAGUUAUAAAUCCCAUAGGACAUCAACUUAACCCUUGGAUGAGGCCCCGAGUCUCCUACAUUCUGAAGAGGAAAAUCUCCCUGAGAACACUCUACCUAACUCUCUGCUUCCUUGUUUGGAAAAUGGGGGCAAUGCUCCAACCAACGCAUUACUGGUUCCAGUCAAUGGGAACUUCUAUAUUGUCCUCAGAUGCAGAUGGUCCUGUGGUUGAGUUGGUCAAGCUGGGGUGAAUUUUGCAAACUCAUUCCCUGGACUUGGCAUCUCUGAUGUGCCAGGCAAGGUGAUGGGCUGUGUGGGGGGAUUGUGGCUUCUACCUUUAGUGGACCCUCCUUAGGUGACUCUAAAGUCCAUACUGUGUGGCACUUGUCCUACCUCCACAGUCUCAGCCACACUGCCCCUUGGCUCCCCUGUGGAACUUUCUCAGCCUACUGGGGCCUCUACCAAUCAGAAAAGCUGAUUUAAUUAGUCUGGGGCAGGGACCAGCCAGCAGCACGUUUCAAAACUUCCCAGGUUGAGGUGCUCUCCACAGCAGUCUGAGUUGAGAAUCAACAGGCAGAAGAGCCAAGCACAUUCCAAAGCAGCUCAGUGGCAUGAAGUGAAGAAAUUGGGUCUUUGGUGGGAGAAUCUGGGGAACAAUCAGGACUGGCUUCCCAGAGGCAGUGAUGUUCUGCUCUGCCUAUAUGGGAAAAGCAUUCCAAGCAUAAGGAUCAGCAUGUGCAAAGUGUGCCAGUAGAUGUGCCUGGAUCAAGCUAGGAGAGGCAGGAGGGAGGGCAAUAGGCUGGAGAAGCAAGUUCACCAGCUCAGGAAAGAGGGAGAGUACAAGGCUACAGUGUAUGUAACUAUGACAUUGGAUGUACUCAGGUUAGAUUUUAGAGGUUCUGUUGGGGAGUCGCCCAUGGCAUCUUAGAAAGUCAUGGUGUGGCCAGUGUGCUUCCACCAGAAGCUGCCCCUAACCUGCAUCCUAGCCCCCAGAGAAAGCCCCAUCCUAUCUGAGAGCACAGGAGUACAUCAGACCUAGAAAGAAGAGGGAUCUGUACUCUGCCAUCUGUGUGAGGUCCCCUAUCCACAUUCGAGACUCAAAUCCUGCCCUCACCCAAAUGUAUCCAGACAUUUUGUAUCUGAAGAAGAGGACAGGAUCAACCCCAUGUAUUCAGAGUCCAUUGCCUGGUUUCUAAUUUCCCUAUUAAUUUCUUCUAAAUGUUUUUCAGGUUAUAUUUUCACUUCAAGACUAGUCCUCUUCUCAACAGACACUUUGCAAAAGUGGAAAUGUAAAUGGUUAACAAACACGUUGGGAGAAAGCCCAGCCAUGUGGAAAUCUGAGGAAAAAAAAAAAACUAAAGUACUGUUUUUAGGUCUUUUGGGUAUUGUUGAAGAGGAAUAGCUGGGUCAAAUGGUGGUUCCAUUCCCAGAUUUCCAAGGAAUCGCCAUACUGCUUUCCAAAUUGGCUGCACCAAUUUGCAGUCCUCGCCAGCACUUUUUGUUGUUUGACUUCAUAAUAGCUUCCAUUCUUACUGGAGUGAGAUGGUAUCUUAGAGUAGGGACACAGCCAUAUCAAUGUUCAUAGCAGCACAAUUCACAAUAGCUAGACUGUGGAGCCAACCUACAUGCCCUUCAAUAGAUGAAUAGAUAAAAAAUGUGGCAUUUAUACACAAUGGAAUAUUACUCAGCACAAAAAAAUUAACAAGAUCAUGGCAUUUGCAGGGAAAUGGAUGGCAUUAGAGUAGAUUAUGCUAAGUGAAGUUAGCCAAUCCUCCCAAAAACAAAUGCUGAAUGUCUUCUCUGAUAUAAUGUGGGUGACUCAAAAUGGGGUAGGGAGGAAGAGCAUGAGAGAAGAUUACCUCUAGAUAGGGAAGAGAUGUGAAAGGGAAAUGGAGGCAGAAGGGGAAAUGCAUGGAAGAAGGAAGGAGACCCUCAUCAUUAUACAAAAUAUAUGUAUGAUGAUGUGAUGGAAACAAAACAAAUUGCAUCACCUUAGAUUGGGUAGAGAGAAGUGAUGAGAGGGGAAGGGAGGGGAAGGGGGGAAUGGAAGGACAGCUGAAUAAAAUAGACAUUAUUAUUGCUGUGUGUAUAUACGUGACUGCAUGACCAAUGUGAUUCUGCAACCUGUGCACUCAGAAAAAUGAGAAAUUAUACCCCAUCUGAUUCAAAUGUAUGAUAUGUCAAGGUCAUUGUACUGUCAAGUGUAACUAAUUAAAACAAAUUUAAAAAAUAAAAAAAUAAAACAUUUCCAAGAAUAGAGGCUGCUAUACUGGGAAUUAGAAAGCCAAGGUUACUCCAACUUACCCCAAGUUUUGGAGUAAAUGGAUUACUAUAUGUGGGCUUCAGUUUUCACAUCUAUCUAGGGACUAUAUUAAAAAAAGCUUAAACAUACAAAAAUUAAUAAACAAACAAACAAACUACCAGUUUAAAACUUUAUGAACUUAAAAAAAAGAAAGAAAC